UUGAAAAAACCGGGUUUAGUCUGGAGAAGAGAAGACUGGGAGGGGACAUUUAUGUACUUGAAAACUGUUAUAAAGAUUGUUACAAGGAGGAGGGAGAAAAAUUAUUCUUGUUAACCUCUGAGGAUAGGGUAAGAAUCAAUGGACUUAACUUGCAGCAAGAGUGUUUUAGGUUGGACAUUAGGAAAAACUUCCGGACUGUCAGGGUGGUUAUGCACUGGAAUCAAGUGCCUAGGGAGCGUGAUGGCGUGACUGCCUGUCACUGGCAGAAAUGGGGUUAAAAGCAGCCCUACGGAGAGUGAGCCGUAGGCAGCCAAUUAGAAAGAGGCUGAGAGAAGCAGCCAAUCAUGACGCGGCAGGCGCAUAUAAGAAGGGCUGCACGGCAUAAGAGAGUUCAGUAGCUGAAUGGAGUUUGCGGAGAGAAGACCUGGCUCUGAGCAGGAAGAAGGAGUGCCAGCACCUGGGAUAGAGCAGUGCUGCAAGCAGAGGCUGGGGGAGCUAGAGAGAGCUCUGGGCUGGUUGCUACAACCUGCAGGCUGAGGACCUGAGGUAUGGGCAGAAAAGGGUGCUGCAGCUACAUGGAAAGUGGCCCUGGGACAAUGGACUGAAGUUGCCACUGGAGGCGUGGCUGAACAGAGACUGUGGGUCCUCCGGCGGGGGGAACACAGAGUGUGGCACAGCCAGAAGGCAGGGUCACUGAAGAGGACUCUACAGUUCUGGGAGUGGCGUGGGUCCUGGAACAAAAGUGAUGGCAACAAGGCACCACCAGAGGAGGGCGCCCUGGGGCAAAGAUUCCUAAACACAAGCAAGAGAUCUGCAGGACUAACCUGGGUUAGCCCUAAUGGACAUAUUGAGCUGGCAUAUUUCAGCAGCUCUGGCACCAUGUGAAUCCUAAGACUGCAACAUGUUUUUGUGUGUAUGGUUACUUGUUUUAACUUGGUAAAUAAUGCUUUUAUUUCUUUUUCCUGAUUAAUAAAUCCUAGUUUACUAGA
Molecule: long non-coding RNA, 989 nt
Organism: Dermochelys coriacea (leatherback sea turtle)
Lineage: Eukaryota; Metazoa; Chordata; Testudines; Dermochelyidae
Exons: 2
Source: RefSeq, a predicted model, not a curated record